UAUACUUCAGGGCCCCUGCUAAGUUUCCUGCAAGGGACAAAUCAAUGCCUUCUUUAGCCAACAUGAUUCCCCCAUCUUCCUCCCGUUACAGUGCAAUGGACAUUGGCCACAAAUAGAGGAGGGAGUUUUGACUGAGAUGCUUUGGUGACUCUAGAGGAAACCAGUCAAGGCCUCUACUAAAGAACCAGACAAGCAGACAUGGUUAGAUUUACCGGGGUUGAUUAUAUUUUUUCUGCUUACAAGAGCUGAAGAGGAAAAAUAAGUGGUCAGAAAUUUGUUCUUGGUUGCGUCUAAAAGAAUCAUAAAAUAAAGAACAAUGUUACUCAAGAAUAUCACUUCCUAACCAGCAGCUGACUGAAGUGCCUUGUUGCAAGUCUGAAGAUCUACCUGUAGAGUAUAAGAAGGCUUACUCAAUAUGGAUGCAACUAAGUGCUGUGCUACAUGAUGCCAAGAUGUGGCUGCUGCUACGUGCUUGUUCUUGAAAACCAGAUGUUUUUCCCUUUUGACAAAAUGGUGCAGCUCUUCAUUAGCGAUACUGAAGAUCCAACAUGGGAUCACACAGAAGAGGAAGCAGAAGCAGAAGCAGAAGCAGACUCUGGUUCAUUCCUGUGUACAUGUGGGUGCUUUCCCUUGCACUGCUGAAUAGAGCUGCCUGCUACUGGGGCAACUAAACAGAACCAACAAUAGAGAAGCUCCCUUAGUAACUCCACAUGGCAAGAUAGCGGAAGAGGACAGCAGAAUGGAAGAGCUCAUGGAAGAGAAGAAUAAGGCAUGCCUGCCUCUAAA
This 786-nucleotide long non-coding RNA is filed under the name Crocodylus porosus (Australian saltwater crocodile). Its description in RNAcentral is "lncRNA (ENSCPRG00005017602.1)". Lineage: Eukaryota; Metazoa; Chordata; Crocodylia; Crocodylidae. The record is from RNAcentral.